Molecule: long non-coding RNA, 2536 nt
Organism: Poecilia latipinna (sailfin molly)
Lineage: Eukaryota; Metazoa; Chordata; Actinopteri; Cyprinodontiformes; Poeciliidae
Exons: 6
Source: RefSeq, a predicted model, not a curated record
GGGAGGAAGCCAAGGAGAACUGGGAUCCCCGGCUACUGGAGCUUUCUCCAUCAUGCAUCAUGGAGUCCAACUCUGAUAUUUUGUCCAGGGAGCACUGGAAGAGGGGAGAAGGGUGGGAGGAGAGUGGUCUUUUUGAAAACUGCAUCGAUGCACUAAUGCACUGAAACCUGAGCUCUUAUUGGAUCUGAAGGGCAGCAUGAGACAGCCAUCCUCCAGCAUCUACCCCUGUUUAAAGGGAUUGCUUUCAUUCAGAGAAGGAGAGGCGAAAAAGCCUUCCAGCAGAGCCCAGUCCGGCUCAGCUCGUCUCCCCGUGUGCCCGUCUGUCUCGUCUCUGCUGAGGCCAGCUGACCGGUCCUGUCGGGCUGACCGGCCACCUGCCAGACCGGCGGCUCUCCUGCACCAGCGCUGGGUGGACCGCGAUGCAGGCGGGAGCAGCCGACUGCCCGGUGGCCUCUGACAUUUGCUAUGGGGAAGAGGGGAUGCGCUCAGCCCUCUUGUUCUGCUGCUGCGAUCGAGCUUCAGGGUCCUGACCUGCCUGUGAAAGGAAACAGUCGAGAGUGAGUGUCACAAAAAAAAAAGGCAGCCAAACAACAAAGCCAUCUUUCACUCUGAAGACGACAGCCACCUCAGUGAGAUGAAGCAGACUGUGUCCGUAAACAAUAGAGCGGUCCCCGACGUGGAAUGGGAUACUCCUUUGGGAAGUCAUUUGUCACCAUUUCCCAGUAAGUUAAAGAUGAGACCAGAGCCUUUCCAUCAUCGCCACUUCAAGCUUCUACACCACGCCUUAAAGUCAUGUGAUUUAAACCUGAACACUGAAUGAAAUAAUUCACUCGGAGGAAACAGGUUACGUUUUUACAGCGAUAAUAUCAACGGUAAAAACUGCGGACUAAUUUAGUACAUCAUUUGACCCACUGUCGUCUGUUUAACAAAUCUUAAAGAUUAAUAAAUUGCACACUUCCUUGAACUGUUUGAAGUUCAGAAGAAGGAUUUCCGUUGUGUCUGGAAAACAUGAACAAACAGUUUUGAGAAAUGUCUUCUUUAAAAGGCGAAUCCAAAUGUCAGAGAGACAGAUACACAGAGAGCACUGCCUUCUGGGCGUCGAGCAGAAAAAACUUCAGAAUAAUGUUUUUUCCCAGUUGGAGCGAACUGCAAUUACCCAUCAUCAAACAUACAAAGCAGAGUGUUUGCACUCUCAUAGCCUGGAGAGGAACAUGGUCACUGUUUGCAAAAUCACACAAAGGAGACUCAGGAAAAGCAAUGUAGGAGUGUUAUUGAGAUCAGAUUUACUGAAUUUAUGUCGCUGUGAUUAGUCGGAUAAUAAAAUCCACUGACAACUUAUUUAUAAACUACUGUGUAUAAAGGAGUAGUUCCAAAUUCUGAGGUUAAAUUUGGUAAACAUUAUGUUGGAAGUGACACAAAGUGAGAUAUGAACGUUUUUUUUUUUCAUCUUUAUGCAUUUUUUUAGACAAAGAAUGGCUCAAAAGUAACAUGAAUAAAAUGAAACAUUUCAUGCUGUUAUAUUUAUGUUUUAUCUGAUUCAUGACACAACAGAGGAAUAUGUGCAACGCUGUAAUUAAACAAGAGGGAAAAUAUUGAGAUUAUUUUUUUAGGUUCAUGAAAAUACUGACAUAAACUUUUUAUUCCCAGCUUCUCUAAGAAGUCGACAUAAAGGCUGAACUUUAGCCGGUGCCGUAGCACAGAGCUGCACCCUGCUUGACUGUUUUGUCAGCUUUUUUUUUAAAUUUUUUUUAUGAAAAACGGGUUCACAAAUCCAAUAUUUUAUAAGCCCAUGUAACUUUGAAGUGUUUUAAUUCAUUGGACUUUUGUGUAUGCAACCAACAAACAAUUUGAAAACAUUCAUAUCAUAGCACCACCUUUAAUUUAACCCUUGAUUGUAAGCAUGUUAAACUCAACAGCAGUGAGCCUCAAGUGCACGCUGCAUACCUACUUAUUUGUUUUUGACAUUUUUCUUUUAAUGUCUUACGUUGCCACGUACAGGAGGCCUGGCUAAAUGCUGACUGUGUUCUUGAUAAACAUUUUUGAAAGGACAAAUAAAUAAAUUAUUUUAGAAAAACUCUCCAGAAAGGAGUUUGUGUGCCUAGACAUUGAUGCUUCAGUCUUGAGCUGUGAAACAAGUCUGAAUGUUUGUACCUGUUUUUAAAAUAUAAAUGUAAAAUGUCAUGUCUGAGUAUUGGUAAAUGACACAUCAGAAUAGCUAUCACUGCUGGUGUGACAAUGUUUCAGUUGGUUUAUUUAUUGGUUUUUAAUCUUUCUGUAUUACCUGUAUUUGAGAGCCUCAUAUUUUUCUGCAUUUUUUUUAAGUACUGGUCAGCAAGGAUUCAAAUUUAAAAAGUUCUAAUGUUCACAGCUCUUUCCAUAUAAGUCUGAGCACUAAUCUGGAAUAACAAAUGAGUUCAAUAUUGCACCAGUGAUAAUGUUUGUUUUUGUUGUUUUUUUCCUAACUUGUGAAACAGUGAUCUCAUCUGGAUUUACAUCACAGCCGUCUGUCUGUAGUUUCAUAAAGUACUUGUCAUGA